AGAGUUUGAUCCUGGCUCAGAAUCAACGCUGGCGGCGUGCCUCAGACAUGCAAGUCGAACGCGAAAGUUCCCUUCGGGGAGCGAGUAGAGUGGCGCACGGGUGAGUAACACGUAGGUAAUCUACCUUUGGAUGGGGAAUAACAACCGGAAACGGUUGCUAAUACCGCAUAAUGCAGCGGCACCUAAUGGUGACAGUUGUUAAAGCGGGGGAUCGAAAGACCUCGCGUCUGAAGAGGAGCCUGCGGCAGAUUAGCUAGUUGGUAAGGUAACGGCUUACCAAGGCGAUGAUCUGUAACCGGCCUGAGAGGGCGGUCGGUCACACUGACACUGACAUACGGGUCAGACUCCUACGGGAGGCAGCAGUCGGGAAUUUUGGGCAAUGGGCGAAAGCCUGACCCAGCAACGCCGCGUGAAGGAUGAAAUCCCUCGGGAUGUAAACUUCGCAAGAACAGGAAGAAUAAGUAAGAGUUAAUAUCUCUUAUGAUGACGGUACUGUUUGUAAGCUCCGGCUAACUCCGUGCCAGCAGCCGCGGUAAUUC
RNAcentral lists this ribosomal RNA (539 nucleotides) under uncultured bacterium. RNAcentral's name for it is "bacterial SSU rRNA". It matches the Rfam family "Bacterial small subunit ribosomal RNA", at positions 8 to 526 of the family's 1533-position model. The record is from RNAcentral.